GUGUGUGAGUAGAGUCCAGUGUGUGAGUAGAGUCCAGUGUGUGAGUAGAGUCCAGUGUGUGAGUAGAGUCCUGUGUGUGAGUAGAGUCCAGUGCGUGUGUAGUCCAGUCCGUGUGUAGAGUCCAGUGCGUGUGUAGAGUCGUGUGUAGAGUCCAGUGCGUGUGUAGAGUCCAGUGUGUGUGUAGAUGUGUGAGUAGAGUCCAGUGCGUGUUUUGAGUCCAGUGCGUGGGUAGAGUCCAGUGCGUGGGUAGAGUCCAGUGUGUGAGUACAGUCCAGUGUGUGAGUAGAGUCCAGUGCAUGUGUAGAGUCCAGUGCGUGAGUAGAGUCCAGUGCGUGUGUAGAGUCGUGUGUAGAAUCCAGUGCGUGUGUAGAAUCCAGUGCGUGUGUAGAGUCCAGUGCGUGUGUAGAUGUGUGAGUAGAGUCCAGUGCAUGUGUAGAGUCCAGUGUGUGAGUAGAGUCCAGUGCGUGUGUAGAGUCGUGUGUAGAGUCCAGUGCGUGUGUAGAGUCCAGUGCGUGUGUAGAGUCGUGUGUAGAGUCCAGUGCGUGUGUAGAGUCCAGUGCGUGUGUAGAGUCGUGUGUAGAGUCCAGUGCGUGUGUAGAGUCCAGUGCGUGUGUAGAGUCCAGUGUGUGUGU
This is a long non-coding RNA of Oncorhynchus tshawytscha (Chinook salmon), 632 nucleotides long. Lineage: Eukaryota; Metazoa; Chordata; Actinopteri; Salmoniformes; Salmonidae. The record is from Ensembl.